RNAcentral lists this non-coding RNA (383 nucleotides) under Loigolactobacillus rennini DSM 20253. RNAcentral describes it as "Lactobacillus rennini DSM 20253 cspA thermoregulator". It matches the Rfam family "cspA thermoregulator", at positions 114 to 428 of the family's 428-position model. The record is from Rfam by way of RNAcentral. Lineage: Bacteria; Bacillati; Bacillota; Bacilli; Lactobacillales; Lactobacillaceae.
UGCUACUAUACUUAAUAGUACUUCUUUGUUCGGAAUAUUUUGGUAACAAGUUUCAUUGUAAACUUCUUCCAAUGUACGCCUUUCACAAGAUUUACCAAAUUAAACGGGUCACAGACCCACAGGAGGAUUUUUAUACAUGGAACACGGUACAGUAAAAUGGUUUAACGCAGACAAAGGUUAUGGCUUCAUCACUCGCGACAAUGGCAGCGAUGUUUUCGUACAUUUUUCAGCUAUUCAGGGUGAAGGUUACAAGACCUUAGAAGAAGGCCAAGCAGUAACUUUUGAUGUUGAAGAAAGCGAUCGUGGACCACAAGCGGCUAAUGUUGUUAAAGAAUAAUAAUAUUUAGAUCAGCUAGCAACCCUGAUUUUUCAGGGUUGUUUUU